GACGAACGCUGGCGGCGUGCCUAAUACAUGCAAGUAGAACGCUGAAGGAGGAGCUUGCUUCUCUGGAUGAGUUGCGAACGGGUGAGUAACGCGUAGGUAACCUGCCUGGUAGCGGGGGAUAACUAUUGGAAACGAUAGCUAAUACCGCAUAAUAGUAGAUGUUGCAUGACAUUUGCUUAAAAGGUGCAAUUGCAUCACUACCAGAUGGACCUGCGUUGUAUUAGCUAGUUGGUGGGGUGACGGCUCACCAAGGCGACGAUACAUAGCCGACCUGAGAGGGGGAUCGGCCACACUGGGACUGAGACACGGCCCAGACUCCUACGGGAGGCAGCAGUAGGGAAUCUUCGGCAAUGGACGGAAGUCUGACCGAGCAACGCCGCGUGAGUGAAGAAGGUUUUCGGAUCGUAAAGCUCGGUUGUAAGAGAAGAACGAGUGUGAGAGUGGAAAGUUCACACUGUGACGGUAUCUUACCAGAAAGGGACGGCUAACUACGUG
Molecule: ribosomal RNA, 495 nt
Filed under: uncultured bacterium
Lineage: Bacteria
Description: partial 16S ribosomal RNA
Rfam family: Bacterial small subunit ribosomal RNA
Source: RNAcentral